Molecule: long non-coding RNA, 2596 nt
Organism: Ziziphus jujuba (common jujube)
Lineage: Eukaryota; Viridiplantae; Streptophyta; Magnoliopsida; Rosales; Rhamnaceae
Exons: 4
Source: RefSeq, a predicted model, not a curated record
CUUUUUAAAUAUUAGAAAAAGGAAGAAUUUGAGUGAAUGCCCCUGCUAACAGGUACUUAAGGAUUUUAUUUCGCCCUUGAUACCUCCGGUGUUCUUCUUCUCGGUGUAAAGGAAAUAGGUCGGUUCGUGGGACAAGGGCGAGUUCCGAAGUGGCUCUAAUGCCAUUACAAGGGGAAAGUGAAAGGAAGUUUGCGGUGGUGAAGAAAUCCAGUGAUCCCCACAACGAUUUCAGGACUUCAAUGGUGGAAAUGAUCGUGGAGAAACAGAUCUUCUCGGCUAAAUAUCUUGAGCAGCUUUUGCAGUGUUUUUUGUCACUGAAUUCACACCAUCAUCAUAAGGUCAUCGUUGAAGUUUUCACAGAGAAAUGGUAAGCACUGUUCUCUAACUGGGGAUCUGAAAAAACAAAGAAAAAAAGAAAAAAGGAAAGGGAAAAAAAAAGAAAAAAGAAAAAAAGACUCUUCUCUAUUUUCUUCUCUGUGACUCUGCCAUUUGUGUUUUUUAAUUAAUGGUUAGAAUUCUAACUUCGAUAGACUAAUUAGUGUAUUAUCCUCGAUUUUCCUACCACCCAAUAGCUACCUUUCUGGGUUUAUUAUGGUGGUGAAUCAUAUUUUUGUUUUAACAUGGAAAGGACUAUGAAAUGGACUUUUAAUUUUCUUUUAAUUUUCUACUUUGUUGAUAAUAAAAACAAUCCUGCUGCUCAUGGUGUUUCACGAGCAGAUUUCAUAGCCUUUGUUGAUCAUGACCACUGGUGGAUGGUUAAAUUUGGUUCUAUAAAUUUUGCAGGAAGAAGUUCAGUUUCUAAUGAAUCCUGCAGUGAAUAGGCAUCCAAACUUUGGUGAAAUUGAUUGGUUAUUGCUGUGAAAAAGAAGUGAGAGGUGUGGUUUAUGACCUUAACCCAAAGGACACUUUGCACAAUUUGACCCUAGCGGGUACAUAUUUACACAGCAAAAUCCACACAAUUUUUUGAUAUUGUCAAUUUCAUAUCAUUGAAAUCUUUAAUAGAAGGUUUUUGCUAAUGUUAUAGACACCUUGACUUGAGCAAAUAUAGGACAUAUACCUAUAAAAAAUAAAAUAAAAACAAAUUACCAAGAAAAAUAUAAAUAAAAAUAAACAAUGAUAUAGAUGGAUUAUGGUUAAAAUUAGCACGUUUGAUAUGUAUUAUUACUAUUGGUACGGUUUUUUUUUUUUUCUUUUUUUUUUUAACUAGAUAUAACUUUCUAGAAUAGACGAAGAUGGGGAGGAAAAAAAAAAAUUAUAUAUAUAUAUAUGUUCAUAUUACAUUCUUAGGAGUUAGGACCACGUUUUAUUUGCUAUAGUUCCACCAGAUAAGUUGGGACUUAAUAAAGGAUGAGCAAGGUGUCUCUGUGUUUGUCUGCCAUGUUUCACUGGCUAUGUUUAGUGGGUGCUUUACUAAAAUCCAUUUAAUGGUGAAGCAAUAAUAGAGUUUCUUCUAUCUCUGUCUCUCAAUAUAAACAAGAAAUCUGUGAGAGUAUCGAAAACCCAAGAAGUAAGUUAAAAAAAAAAAAAUAAAGAAAAAAAUGGCGGAAGAGAGUAGAGAGAUGCUGCUAAACAAGGUGGUUUACUAUGAGAAUUGCCCAGGUUGUAAGGUGGAAUAGUAUAAAGAGACACAACGUGGUUUAUCAAUUCGAGACCUUCUUUUUAUUGGGAUUGUUGUGUUGUGUAAUGGUAUGCUUUUUCUUAUUCUUCUACUGUUUGUUAUUUAUUUAUAUAUUAUUACUAUUUUUUGGCUUUUGGCAUUUCAAAGCAUUGUUGAAUGUUGAUCAUAUUGAUGUUUUGUUUGAUUUAUUGCAUCUGUGAGUGUGUAUUUUGUUCUCUGCUACAUGUUUUCUACUGUUAGAUUACUGGUGGAUGAAUUUGAUGCUGCACUUUGGAAGGUAAGGAAGUAGCAAAAGGAUCCAAUGAAGAUCCAACAAACAUCUUUAACUUUUAUUCAGUUUUUGUCCUUGUGAAUAUUUAACUUUUUUGGAAUUGGUGUUUACUCUAUGUAACUUGUUGUUUACUUUAACAGGUUUCCUAAAUUUGUCUAUUUGGUUGUGUGUUUACAUUGUAUAGGAACUUGGCAUUCAUAGUUUUUGUGCGUUCUUGUUCUGAAAGCUUGGUCUAGAAUAUGUCAGGUAAGAAAGAAGAGAAAGUUCAGGCUACAGCUAAAAGAAUUUAGGCUGCAGCCUUCAGUGCAGCAAAUGGUCUUAGUAGAGCUCAGGCAGAGAGCUGCUGCAGCUGCAGCCCAAAAUAUUAAUGCAUAUGUAUUGUGAACAAAACUCUUGGAAGCUUGCCCCAGUAGCAAGCUCUGUGGCUGAAAAGGGAGGAUUCAAAGCCUACGUGAUGGAGGUCUAAGGAAGUCACGUUUACAGCAAAUUAAAAUACGAGUUUGGAGUUCAUGGGGCUCAAGGUUGACACCGACUGUUAUUAUGUUUUCAUUCAAUUUGUAACUAUGAUUGAUUUAGUUUAUAUGUCAAUAAAUUCUCCUAGCAAAACUCAAGUAGGCUGUUUCAUAUUGAUUUCUCUUUUUGGUUUGAUAUAAUGCGUGUUUCUAAAGUUUGAUUUAAUCAUUCUGUGUAAUCUUCUCUCUUUGUAA